CCUACGGGGGGCUGCAGUGGGGAAUAUUGCGCAAUGGGGGCAACCCUGACGCAGCAACGCCGCGUGAUUGAAGAAGGCCUUCGGGUUGUAAAGAUCUUUAAUCGGGGACGAAUUUUGACGGUACCCGAAGAAUAAGCUCCGGCUAACUACGUGCCAGCAGCCGCGGUAAUACGUAGGGAGCAAGCGUUAUCCGGAUUUACUGGGUGUAAAGGGCGUGUAGGCGGGCAUGCAAGCCAGAAGUGAAAUCUGGGGGCUUAACCGCGGAACUGCAUUUGAAACUGUUUUUCUUGAGUACCGGAGAGGUCAUCGGAAUUCCUUGUGUAGCGGUGAAAUGCGUAGAUAUAAGGAAGAACACCAGUGGCGAAGGCGGAUGACUGGACGGCAACUGACGGUGAGGCGCGAAAGCGUGGGGAGCAAACAGGAUUAGAUACCCCAGUAGUC
RNAcentral lists this ribosomal RNA (441 nucleotides) under uncultured bacterium. RNAcentral's name for it is "partial 16S ribosomal RNA". It matches the Rfam family "Bacterial small subunit ribosomal RNA", at positions 338 to 795 of the family's 1533-position model. The record is from RNAcentral.